AUGGCCGGCGGUUGCGUGGACCGCCUGUCCUCGCUCCCCAACGACCUCCUCCGCCGCAUCCUCCACUUCGCCCCACUCAAGGAGGCAGCCUCCACCACCGCGCUCUCCCGCCGUUGGCGAGAGCCGCUCUGGCUCUCCUCGGGCGCCGUAAACCUCGAGACGGGCGUCGUCGAGAAAAAGAAACACCGCCGACAACAAGGGCACGAGCAAGACAACGCCCACGCCCGCUUCUUCUCCGGGAGCGACGACAUGGUCUCCGCGGCCACGGGAGCGCUCGACGCCGCCACCGUUCCCGUCACAAGGCUCACUUUAAUCACCUGGUACCCUGUCAGCGACCAUUACGAGGUCGUGUCAUCCUACAAAGACAUGGUCGAGGUCGUGCUCUCCAACCGGGCGACGCGCCGCGUCGAGGAGCUCCUGCUCACCGCCAAAGAUCCUUCCGGCAGCCCCUAUGAUCGGUGGGUAUUCAAUUGCACAGUCACCCUCGACUCGCUGCAGUUGGUGGCACUGCGGAUCCUAGAACUCACCAACUGCAGUGGAGUACUAGUCUACCACACGGAGGCCGUGCUCCCACGGCUGUCCUCCCUAAGGCUGAGCCAUUGCACCCAGCAACUAGGAUCCCUCCAACGCGUUAUUGACGCGGCGCCGUCGCUCGCUGCCGUCCGACUCGAGUAUGUCUUCAUAACACACGAGGAAGCCAUAGAAGCCACAUGGCGCCACUUCCGAUGUCCUGCAACCACCGUGCUUGUGCUUGACAGUUGCAAGUGGGAGGUGACAAUAGGGCAUAGACACGGCUGGUUCUUCAAGAAGACCGUCUAUCGACUGAAGAUCGACGCGAUGAGGCUGCGCCGAUUUAGCUACAAGGGGCCACUCCGCUCCUACUCAUUCAGUCCACAGCCCCUCGAGUUUGAACAAGUGGAUCUGGAAUUUUUCGAGCAAGGCUACAGGGUAAAGGAUCCAAACCGUGACUUAGAAACCUUCUGGAAAUUCACUCGGAACUUCACUGGUACCAAGGAGAUGAGGCUGAGUGUGAACCACCUCGAGGAUAUCGCCGUCCUCAGCGAGGCAAGGCAGAUCGAGCUCCUGCCGGCGUUCGGUCGCCUCGAGCGUCUCGAAUUUCAAGGAGCACAUUGGACCAAAGACAAGACUGCAGCAGUGACGACCAUCUUGAACCUGCUCCACUGCUGUCCUGUGCUCAUUACCCUCCGAAUCAACCUCACCGCAAAGUACGAGGAGGAGGAUGCGUCGAAUAAACAAGGGGGACACAAACAGAAAGGAACUACUCGGAAGGAAAUUCUUAUGGCUGCCAUGGUAGGUCCACGCUACUUAUUCCAAUGCUUGCAGAGCUCCCUGAGGAGAGUGGACUUACAGUUCCAGCUAGAGAAGAAGGACUGUCUUGGUGUCAAGCUGAUAAAAACUUUCGCCGAGAAUGCGAUGUUUCUUAAAGAAAUACUUAUUGACAGUGGAGACGAAAAGUUGUGUGAGCACAUGAAGCCCAGGAUUGCAAAGUGGAACUCGAGCAGGAAAGAGUUAGGGGCCACAAGUUUCGUGCUCUUACCUCUUAAGAGGUGA
Molecule: ribosomal RNA, 1572 nt
Filed under: Triticum aestivum (bread wheat)
Lineage: Eukaryota; Viridiplantae; Streptophyta; Magnoliopsida; Poales; Poaceae
Description: partial small subunit ribosomal RNA
Source: RNAcentral